This is a long non-coding RNA of Anolis carolinensis (green anole), 853 nucleotides long. RefSeq lists it as uncharacterized. The transcript is spliced from 2 exons. The record is from RefSeq and is a predicted model, not a curated record. NCBI's taxonomy places the organism in Eukaryota, Metazoa, Chordata, Lepidosauria, Squamata, Anolidae.
CACACAGAUAAGGAAGAUGUGCUUUUCUCUCAGUGCUUGUUCUCUCUCUUCCUUUCUCUCCUUUCAGCUUCUAAAGUUUAAACCACAAGUGAUUUUUCAGGGGAACUUGACUUAUCUCCGUUGCGGUGCUUAAUAUCAGAUAUUUUAUGAUGAUCCGGGGGUCUUAUUACCAUAGCAGAGAGAAAAAGCAAUUCAGAGAAUUUCUAAAGGCAUCAAGUUCAAUGUUGUCGGGGAAGUCGAGUGCUUCUGGUUAAGCAGCUCGUAGGGGCAAGUCGGUGCGUUUUUAACCAUCUCAAAUUUACAUUACAAUCUGAUUGUUCCUCCUCUGAGAUCAAAAUAAGAGCCUCAGACAAAAGAAAAGGAAAAAACUGUUGGAUUCAUUAUUGGAAUUUAGUGGUGCCAAACUGAAAUGGAAUGCCUGGCCUUAAGGAUAACAGCUUGCUUGCUGCAUAGUGGAGCUGCUCUCUGCCACCAGGCAGAUGGGCUUUAGAGUCCUUUCCACUAUGACCUAUUAUGUUACAUACAUUUAUAUACAUGUAGCUGUGGAACAGAGGCGUUGAAUUGCAACAAUGCAUAACUGGAGAGCAGCAAGAGUGCCCAAAAGAGGUGUGCAAUUCGGCCAAAAGGUUCCUUUUUCGGCUAACCCCUCAUUCUGCUUACUGGGAAGUUACUCGAAUUGGAGGGUUAAUCUGCAAUCCAUGGAUCUGUGCAAACUCCAUCCCAUCUUGAAGCCUAUUCCUGGGGUGCCUGCAUAAGUACUCUGAGGCAAAUUGGAUUUCUUUGAUCCAUAUCCUGAAUUGGAUUAAACAGCUUUGAACUCCCACCAUGAAAUAAAGAGCCAGACACAAGAAAA